Molecule: long non-coding RNA, 1033 nt
Filed under: Lynx canadensis (Canada lynx)
Lineage: Eukaryota; Metazoa; Chordata; Mammalia; Carnivora; Felidae
Description: lncRNA (ENSLCNG00005019843.1)
Source: RNAcentral
GACGAAAGAAGGAUGGGCUGAAGAAGGGAUGGUGGUGGAAGCCGGUGGGAACUAGGGGAAGAUAGGUGAAGAAAGCGGAUGGGAUAGGGCCCUAGGGAAAACGUGAAAGCCAGAGGGUUAACCUCUGAAAGGCAGUAGUGGGUGGGGGUGGGGAGAAGAGGGCGUACUUAGCGCAUGCGCCAGAAGUACACUGCGGCGAUCCAGGAGAGGCAGUUCUUAACUGGCAUCAGCGCUGCGGCUGGAGGCGCGGCUGGUUCUCUGCCCGCUGUCCAGUUCCACCUUGGCUUGUGCAACCACCCUGGAUCUGCGAACUCUGUGCAGCUGCUCUGUCCACCAUAUCUUGCGGCGGCGAGCGCUAAGAAUUCAUGCUACGACACUCGAUUCAGCCAGGAGGUGACACCAAAUGUGAUCAGAAGCCAUGCCCAUGGUGAAGAGAUAUACUGAACCCGGCCUGGCCCAGUGAGGUUACUAGAGAAUUGGGAAAGGCUUAAAUAAGAUAGGAGGAAUUAAUCCAUUGCUAUGUAAAAAUGAGAUCUGGACAAAGGAACAGCCAUCUCAGUCAAGUAAGUGAUUAUUUUGACAUGGAAGUAAAUAUUUUUCUUUGACCUUUUGUUGUAUGUGUUCUAUUUAAUCGUUUUCUUAGUAAUGAACCUACCUUGCAUCUCUAGAAGAAAACUUUUUACUUUAUAAUGAUUUUGAAUUAGGUUUCCUAAAUUUGCUAUUUUUAAUGUUAUUUUCUGUUUUAUUUUUUACUCUUUUGUUUCUGUUUAACAGUGAGUUUUUGGUUAGGGUGGCAGUCUUUGUCAGGUGUUGAAGUUAGGGUCAUUAAUGAAAUCUUGUUUCCUGGUCUUUUAAAUUUAGCAGAUCUCAAACAUGUUCCAUGCCAUUAAAUAUGGUUUAGAUAUGGUUUAGGGGCACCUGGGUAGUUCAGUCGGUUAAGUGUCCUACUUCAGCUUAGGUCAUGAUCUCACGAUUUCAUGAGUUCAGGCCCUGCGUUGGGCUCUGUGCUGACAGUUCAGAGCCUGGAGCCUGC